GUCUCCGGCCAUACCACCCUGAACGCGCCCGAUCUCCUCUGAUCUCGGAAGCUAAGCAGGGUCGGGCCUGGUUAGUACUUGGAUGGGAGA
RNAcentral lists this ribosomal RNA (90 nucleotides) under Ailuropoda melanoleuca (giant panda). Lineage: Eukaryota; Metazoa; Chordata; Mammalia; Carnivora; Ursidae. The record is from RNAcentral.